RNAcentral lists this long non-coding RNA (982 nucleotides) under Daucus carota (carrot). Its description in RNAcentral is "long non-coding RNA (DCAR_LNC003854)". The record is from RNAcentral. Lineage: Eukaryota; Viridiplantae; Streptophyta; Magnoliopsida; Apiales; Apiaceae.
UCUGAAUGACAAGGUAAGCAGUAAUUAUAUAUUAUAUUUGUGCACACGAUGUUAAACUAAACGAUGAAAGAAAAAAGAAAACAUAUGACACAGCAAUGAAGUAAACUCACUCUACAGUGUACAAACAAGUUGUUGAUAUGUCACAGUUGGCUCGGCUGGUACUUUGGCGCCAGUAACACAACUCGGAAUAAUAUGAAACAAUAAACUACCAGAUUCUCUUGAAAACCGAGGCUAAGAAAAACUGAUGUGAGGAACACUCAGCACCGGAAUGUUACAAAAAAGUUGUGUAUUCUCCAGUGUUCUAAAAAUCGGUCUAGGCGGCCGCCUAGGCGGUGCCUAGGCGCUAGGCGGCCCCGAAACGCCCCGAUUCGGUGCUAGGCGGUGAAUUAGGCGUUUUUUUACAAAAAUCGGUCCUAGGCGGUCCACAUACCGCCUAGGCGGUCCAGGCGGCCAAUAACAAAAAAAAAAGAUUUUUAAUAAAUAAAAUCGAAAAUUAUGAUUUUAUUAUAAAAAAUUAAGUAUUUACUUGUACUUAACUUAAUAUCCUAUAAAACAAGUAAAAUGAUUAAUUUUAUUUAAUAUUUCUUACAUUAUUUAUAAGAUAGUGGUUGGUAUAUAUUUGUUUAAUCAAUGAUUUUGUAUUACAUGUAUCAAGUAUUUAAUUUCAAUAUAUGAUAUUAUAUUGUUUACCGGCUAGUAGUGAAAAGUAGAUAAAAUCAUUAAAUUAUGUUUAAUUAUAAUAAUUUAAAAAUAAUAUAUGUCCGAUUAAUGCUCCGAUUAAUCUUUCCGAUUAAUCCCCGAUUUCCCGAUUAAUCGCUAGAAGGUACCCCGACCGCCCUGGGACGCCUAGCGAUUUCUGGAACAUUGGUAUUCUCAGAUAGAGAAAAUUUAUGCCAACAAGAAUAGAACAACUUGUAAACAAUCAAAUAAUUGUGCCUUCAAACAUUUCAAGGCCAUUUCAAAUUGAAAAGAAAAACUGUUU